CGUAACACGUAUGUAACCUACCUUCUUCAGGGGGAUAGCCUCUCGAAAGAGAGAUUAAGACCGCAUAAUAUUGUAAUGUGGCAUCACAAAACAAUCAAAUAUUUAUAGGAAGAAGAUGGGCAUGCGGAACAUUAGCUAGUUGGUAAGGUAAUGGCUUACCAAGGCUACGAUGUUUAGGGGAUCUGAGAGGAUGGCCCCCCACACUGGUACUGAGACACGGACCAG
RNAcentral lists this ribosomal RNA (225 nucleotides) under uncultured bacterium. RNAcentral's name for it is "partial 16S ribosomal RNA". It matches the Rfam family "Bacterial small subunit ribosomal RNA", at positions 109 to 334 of the family's 1533-position model. The record is from RNAcentral.